This 253-nucleotide ribosomal RNA is filed under the name uncultured bacterium. Its description in RNAcentral is "partial 16S ribosomal RNA". It matches the Rfam family "Bacterial small subunit ribosomal RNA", at positions 524 to 776 of the family's 1533-position model. The record is from RNAcentral.
UACGUAGGGGGCUAGCGUUGUCCGGAAUUACUGGGCGUAAAGGGCGCGUAGGCGGCACAGCAAGUCGGGAGUGAAAGCCCGGGGCUCAACCCCGGAAUGGCUUUCGAAACUGCUGAGCUAGAGUACAGAAGGGGCAACCGGAAUUCCCAGUGUAGCGGUGAAAUGCGUAGAUAUUGGGAAGAACACCUGAGGCGAAGGCGGGUUGCUGGGCUGAUACUGACGCUGAGGCGCGAAAGCCAGGGGAGCAAACGGG